Molecule: unclassified non-coding RNA, 76 nt
Filed under: Pseudomonas lini
Lineage: Bacteria; Pseudomonadati; Pseudomonadota; Gammaproteobacteria; Pseudomonadales; Pseudomonadaceae
Source: RNAcentral
AAAGAUCGCAGCCUUCGGCAGCUCCUACAGGGGAAACGCAUAUUCCGCGUAGGAGCUGCCGAAGGCUGCGAUCUUU